The sequence is a transfer RNA, 103 nucleotides long. It matches the Rfam family "tRNA". Rfam says of the family: Transfer RNA (tRNA) molecules are approximately 80 nucleotides in length. The record is from Rfam.
GCCCACUUGGCGCAAUGGUUAGCGCACCUGACUUCUACGUUUCUCUCUCUCAAGAGAUACUUGAGUCAUCAGGAGGCUGCAAGUUCGAGUCUUGCAGUGGGUG